AUGGUGUACAGCCCUGUCGACGAUGCCCUCAAAGACUCCUUCCUAGCAGAACUGGUUCAUGCGGCUCCACCGUCGGGACAACCAUGGCUGAUCAAUGGAGAUUUUAACAUCACCUACGAAGCCCGAGACAAGAGCAACCUCAAUCUAAACAGAAGGAUCAUGGGGCGGUUCAGGAGAGCGAUAUACUCAACGGGUCUGAAGGAGAUCAAAUGCAAGAACAGGUGGUUCACCUGGACAAACGAGAGGGAAAAUCCGACGAUGCUGAGCAUCGACAAGGUCUUCUGCAACACGGAAUGGGACGACCUCUUCCCUUACACAUGCUCAUGGCCGCGUUGA
This 336-nucleotide ribosomal RNA is filed under the name Triticum aestivum (bread wheat). Its description in RNAcentral is "partial small subunit ribosomal RNA". Lineage: Eukaryota; Viridiplantae; Streptophyta; Magnoliopsida; Poales; Poaceae. The record is from RNAcentral.